CCGUCCAUAGCUCAGUUGGAAGAGCGCAUGACUGUAAUGGUUUUCUGCCUGGUGCCAUCAUGAGGUCCCCAGUUCGAACCUGGGUGGUCGGA
Molecule: non-coding RNA, 92 nt
Organism: Zopfochytrium polystomum
Lineage: Eukaryota; Fungi; Chytridiomycota; Chytridiomycetes; Chytridiales; Chytridiaceae
Source: the annotation of a GenBank genome assembly